GGACAGUAGAGGUGGUGAUCAGAGAUGAAUUCAACUUGGAUAAAGAUGAGAAUCUCUGCUCUGGGGAGGAGGGUCACUGACCUUCGAUGGUUUGUUGCCUGAUAAAGAGGAUACUUGCUGGCUUGAGGAGACUAUAAUGUUUUGAGGAGGAAAUGUGGCUCGAUGACUUAAAGAGGAGGAGGAAUUAUUGGGCGACACUUUUAAUUACCAACGUAACCUCAGUGGAACUGUGGCUUCAUCGAGUUCCAGCUCUAGGCAGACAGCACGUCAGGAAGGCUGUAAGACAUCACAGAGACAGAUGCUUGGCUUUUUCUUUGUCUUUGUGUUGGAGAUUGGCUCUGAUGUUUCAGCCUCUUCUGGAGCUUCUAGCUGCUGGCUGUCUGGCCCCUCCUGCUGGUUCUCUGAACUCCCCUCCUGGUUGUCUGCCCAUGCCUGUUGCCUCCUUGGCCUUUCCUGGUGGCCAUCAGCAGAUCCAGUGGGCUCUUGGCUUACCUGCUGGCCUGUGGCCCACCUGGGCAACUCCUGACCGUGGUUGUAAUCGUGGCUGUGUUGGGUGGUUAGACACCGGGUGUUGAUUUGAGCAUCAGCCUCCAGAUUCAUCUGCUCCAGGAGGGGGUAAGAAGACAGUCCCAGUAGGAGACGGAGAUCGUCCAGAAGAAGAAGAGCUGUCCAUCUCCUCAGAGACUGCAGGAAAGGUCUACAAGUUUUAUUUCUGGAAAAUAAAGAGAUGCCUUCGUUCA
Long non-coding RNA from Oncorhynchus tshawytscha (Chinook salmon), 740 nucleotides. NCBI's taxonomy places the organism in Eukaryota, Metazoa, Chordata, Actinopteri, Salmoniformes, Salmonidae. The record is from Ensembl.